This is a long non-coding RNA of Fundulus heteroclitus (mummichog), 465 nucleotides long. RefSeq lists it as uncharacterized. The transcript is spliced from 3 exons. NCBI's taxonomy places the organism in Eukaryota, Metazoa, Chordata, Actinopteri, Cyprinodontiformes, Fundulidae. The record is from RefSeq and is a predicted model, not a curated record.
CUCAUGGAGAGUCUCCAUCCAGCAGCAUCUCUGUCUCAGGUAAACCUUCAACAGGUGAACCUUCAACCAAAGCUCCACCCACAUCCACCAGCUCUCAUGUUGGUCUUCAUGUUUUCAUCCACCUGGUGGUGUUCUCUCCGUACUGCGUCUCCACUCUCCUCCUGGUGUCCUUAUAUCGACGAGCUACAGGACCCUUCUGUUUGUUGAUGACCCGGUCCACCCGCGCUGCGCCAGGAUUGGAUGAUAACUCUGAUGAUGUCAUCACUGCUGUGACCACAGAGUAUCACUUCUAAACCUGCUUUCCUGGGUUUUCUUUGACUGAGACUUCCUGGAUCAGAACCAGCAGAGACUGACAACACCUCCCUGAGGACCUCCAGGUGUCAGAGUUACCUGUUCAAAGAUCUCUGGUUCUCUCUGGAGGAGCUUCUGGACGUUCAAACAUCAUAAACUGGAGGAAUAAUCUGU